GUACGGGAGGCAGCAGUAGGGAAUAUUGGUCAAUGGGGGCAACCCUGAACCAGCCAUGCCGCGUGCAGGAUGAAGGCCCUAUGGGUCGUAAACUGCUUUUGUACGGGAAGAAAUCACAAUACGUGUAUUGUGUUGACGGUACCGUGAGAAUAAGGAUCGGCUAACUUCGUGCCAGCAGCCGCGGUAAUACGAAGGAUCCAAGCGUUGUCCGGAUUUACUGGGUUUAAAGGGUGCGUAGGCGGGCUAUUAAGUCAGUGGUGAAAGCUUGCAGCUUAACUGUAAAAUUGCCAUUGAAACUGAUAGCCUCGAAUAUGGUUGAGGUGGUUGGAAUGUAUCAUGUAGCGGUGAAAUGCUUAGAUAUGAUACAGAACACCGAUUGCGAAGGCAGAUCACUAAGCCAUUAUUGACGCUGAGGCACGAAAGCGUGGGGAUCAAACAGGAUUAGAUACCCCGGUAGUCCU
RNAcentral lists this ribosomal RNA (461 nucleotides) under uncultured bacterium. RNAcentral's name for it is "bacterial SSU rRNA". It matches the Rfam family "Bacterial small subunit ribosomal RNA", at positions 339 to 797 of the family's 1533-position model. The record is from RNAcentral.